GGACAACACACAAAAACCUACUGUUGCAACACCCAGAGCUUGCAGAAAGGCCUGCUGGAAGUUGUGCAAUCAAGCUUAUAUUCAUAUUGUUGCCACUUUUGCUGCUUAACAUCCAAGACGUCAACUAAUUCCGUGGGUGCAUUUGUAAUAUAAGGCUAAUCUGAACUGAAUUUCUGCUCACAAGCCAGCUGAUAAAUACAAACUAAGAAAUAUAAUCAAGUAAUUUUUUUACUUAAUCUGAGGCAAUUAGUCUAUAUUUAUUCAGGCAUUGGAGAGUGAGUUUAUUGACCCUGAUUUUCACGGAAAAUGAAUUUCUAAGUUGCACGUGACAGUACCCUCAUAAACCACACUUUAAAGAUGUAAACACAAGUAUAUGGAGUAGAAAUGCUUCCACACUCCUUCAAUCAGAGAACAGAAGAAUUCCCUCUGACCAGUACCAACUAAGCAACAAAGCUCAAGUAGCAAAUAUUGAAAACCUGCAGGAAAUUGUUGAUGGUCAAUCCAUGGAGUAACAAAUGAAUUCACAGAAAUCACAAUCUGGUCGAAGAUAUUCUGUGAGCAAAUACAUAUAUAUAUAUUUGUUAAUGACCAAAACACUGAUAACUAUAAUCCUGAGAUAUAGAUUUGGAGCCCGAUCUUAUUUUGACUAAAGUCACUGGCAAAACAACAAUGGCUUCAGUUAGAGCAAGGCUGACUUUUUGUUUUGUUGGUGGACUAGUAUCAAUAAUAACACUAUUAGUUUUUUCUAGUUUGCUUUUCAAAUACCUUUAAGUUCCCUUUGCCACCAUGUUUUAAGGACAUUCUACCAAAACAUGAAUUAAAACUGCCAUUUUGUAAUUUUUAUAUAUAUCUCAAGCUGAUAGCAGUUUUUCAUAUCUUAAUGUCUACUGUUUUAAUCUGUAUUUCCCACCCCCUUCCUUCAGAUACUGUCUCAGAAAUGCAUACAGGCUUGAUUUGUGAGAUUUUAGUGCUGAACUUGGGAUAUGGGAAAGAUUGUUCUUAAUUAUAUUAUUUAUUGUACCAUAAUAUAUUUAUAUGUACCUUCUGCUACAGCAGCAGUAAGCUGUUUUCUAAAGCCAUUAUCUGAGUGCUGUGGA
Gopherus evgoodei (Goodes thornscrub tortoise) is the source of this 1097-nucleotide long non-coding RNA. RefSeq lists it as uncharacterized. The transcript is spliced from 3 exons. The record is from RefSeq and is a predicted model, not a curated record. Lineage: Eukaryota; Metazoa; Chordata; Testudines; Testudinidae.